GCAUUAGUGGUUCAAUGGUAGAACUUUUGCCUUCCAUGUAAGAGACCUGGGUUUGAUUCCCAGCCAAUGUG
Molecule: transfer RNA, 71 nt
Organism: Loxodonta africana (African savanna elephant)
Lineage: Eukaryota; Metazoa; Chordata; Mammalia; Proboscidea; Elephantidae
Rfam family: tRNA
About the family: Transfer RNA (tRNA) molecules are approximately 80 nucleotides in length. Their secondary structure includes four short double-helical elements and three loops (D, anti-codon, and T loops). Further hydrogen bonds mediate the characteristic L-shaped molecular structure. tRNAs have two regions of fundamental functional importance: the anti-codon, which is responsible for specific mRNA codon recognition, and the 3' end, to which the tRNAs corresponding amino acid is attached (by aminoacyl-tRNA synthetases). tRNAs cope with the degeneracy of the genetic code in two manners: having more than one tRNA (with a specific anti-codon) for a particular amino acid; and 'wobble' base-pairing, i.e. permitting non-standard base-pairing at the 3rd anti-codon position.
Source: Rfam